UAUAAUAUCUUUUGGCGGUCUUAUAUA
This 27-nucleotide non-coding RNA is filed under the name Bombyx mori (domestic silkworm). The record is from RNAcentral. Lineage: Eukaryota; Metazoa; Arthropoda; Insecta; Lepidoptera; Bombycidae.